This 69-nucleotide transfer RNA is filed under the name Catacanthus incarnatus. Its description in RNAcentral is "tRNA-Gln". The record is from RNAcentral. Lineage: Eukaryota; Metazoa; Arthropoda; Insecta; Hemiptera; Pentatomidae.
UAUACUUGAGUGUUGAGAUGCAUAAGGAAUUUUGAUUUCCUAGGUAUGGUUUAAUUCCAUAAAGUAUAA